AGCCAUAUCAUGUUGAAACACAGGUUCCAGAUGAUCACUGAAGUUAAGCAAUGUUGAGCCUGGUCACUACCUAGAUGGUUGACUGCUUGGGAAUACCAGGUGGUGUAAG
Non-coding RNA from Acanthosepion pharaonis, 109 nucleotides. NCBI's taxonomy places the organism in Eukaryota, Metazoa, Mollusca, Cephalopoda, Sepiida, Sepiidae. The record is from the annotation of a GenBank genome assembly.